AUGCGGACGAGCAAUUUGAAGAUGGGGAGUUCAUGUGUAUGACUACAUUACCGUUGUUGAGUCCUCGGAUUAGUGCAUUGCAUGGAGGGAUAACCUUGCUCAUUAAGUCAGUGAUUGAGAUUAGACCUGGCAUUUUUCACCUGAUCCGUUAAUCUGACCCGACCCAAUCCUUUAAAAUUAGUAUUGGAUGAGUGAUAAAUGAGUCGAGUGAUCAGUUAAAUAACGAAUCAUUUUGGAUGAACCCGUUAAGACCCGUUAUUGAGGACUUUUGUGUAAUUUCAACAGUCCUAAUAGAAAACCCUCAGGUUCCUCCUCACGUCUCUCUCUUGCACCGUCGCACGACUUUGCUCUCUGAGACUAAGAGAUCGCUCAUCGGCCAUCGAUGUGCUCCUUCCCUUCCAACUCCACCACUCUCUCUCUGCUCUAGGUGUUCAUCAAAUCACUCCAUGACUUGCAUAUGCACACAAACCGAACGAAGGAAGGAGGUGGCUAGCACAAGCACCAGGAUGCUAACAAAGAGUGAAACGGGUGUAACUUAUUUGGAUGAAGAAAAAAAAAAAAAAGGGUUAACGGGUGAAACGGGUUGAAACGGAUGACCCAUUAGGUUAACGAGUUGGGUUCGGAUGACCCGUUAGCUUAACGGGUCGGGUUCAACCCGACCCAUUUACAAGUCUAAUUGAGAUGUGCCCUUUUGUUUUAAGUUGACGAAGACAUUAGUUGUCCUUUUCAAUUGUAAUUUUUGUAAUAACAUUUGGAUUGUUUCUUUUGUUUCAAGUUAAGAAAGUCACCACUGUCUUAUGUAAUAACAUUUGGAAUGAAAUGCCUAUGAUUUCUAUAUUGUAA
Pyrus x bretschneideri (Chinese white pear) is the source of this 843-nucleotide long non-coding RNA. RefSeq lists it as uncharacterized. The record is from RefSeq and is a predicted model, not a curated record. The transcript has 2 exons. NCBI's taxonomy places the organism in Eukaryota, Viridiplantae, Streptophyta, Magnoliopsida, Rosales, Rosaceae.